Hypanus sabinus (Atlantic stingray) is the source of this 4039-nucleotide long non-coding RNA. RefSeq lists it as uncharacterized. NCBI's taxonomy places the organism in Eukaryota, Metazoa, Chordata, Chondrichthyes, Myliobatiformes, Dasyatidae. The record is from RefSeq and is a predicted model, not a curated record. The transcript is spliced from 4 exons.
UCAUCAUGAGGAGCAUUGUGAAGUCAAGAAUUUAUCUUAAUUUACUGGGAACCUGUUUAAUUGUCUUACAACAGCAAGAAAGAAGCCACCCUUGACAGUGGCACGCUUCCAUGCUUUUGUAUCUUCUAGGCGAUGGGAAUGGGAAAUGAGAGAAUGUCUGGGGCACUGGAGUCUUUGAUUAUGUUGGCUAUUUUUCUGACACGGUGAGAAGUGCAGCUUAACAUCAAUUGUUGACAAGAUGUUGGGGCCUGCAGUCAAGGAAAAAGCACCUAAUCAUUUAAAGAAUAAAUGGGUCUUUUUAAAGCCUGGAGGAUGCAACUGGUUGAGUGCUCAAAGGAUCUGUUCUUGGGUCCCAAUUAUUUGCGAUUCAUAUUAAAGAGGAGCAGACUGUAAGGUAUUCAUAAUUGCCAGUGACAGGAAAAUCGGUGGGACAGCAUGUGCUAUUGAAGGGUUGCUGUAACGUUCUCCUUCGGGUGUAACGAAACGCCGAAUUUAACGUCCGGAUAAACCACAGCCAAUGCAAACCAGAUCGCAGCCCAGCUCCACUGCUUCAAUCGGGCCUGAAGUCCAGAGGCCAUACUUACACCCUCAAGAGUGCAGUUCACCAAAUCCUUCAGGAUACAGCAAAAAUGCCAGGUCAUUCAGACAGUUCAAAUACACAACUCUCAAAGGAAAAUCACAGGCUGCAGGUUGCUACGAUCAUAAUCCAGAAGCAUAUUUAAGAAAACAUUUAACAGUUCUGCUCACUCAGAAAUGGAAAACACUUCAAAACAUGUAUGCCAGCACUUCAGAACAAAACACUGAUGGUUUGUGUGCUUCAUACAGCACUUCAUUGCUCAUUGCUAAAUCCGGAAAGCCCCACAUAAUUGGAGAAGAAAGGAUUCUGCUGGCAGUAUGGGAGGUUCUGGGUACAGUUUUGCCUAAAUCACCAGACCAAAUAAUUAAAAUGAUUCCACUCAGCGCCAACUCUGUUCAAAGACGAAUAGAUGAGAUGUCUGAGAAUGUGGAAGACAUAUUGUGCAACGUACUUAGGACAUCAGAAUUUGCUCUACAGUUGGAUGAGUUGACUUUGCUAGCUAAUCUUUGCUUCUUGGUUGUGUUCACUUCAUAAAAGAUGAAAGAAUGGAUCAAGAGUUUCAAUUUGCAAGGGGACUAGAAACAGAUAUGAGGGUGGAGUCAUUAUUUCAGUUUGUUAAGCAAUUAUUUCAAAGAGAAGAAUAUUCCACUCAUGAACAUUCUUGUUUGUGCAACAGAUGGGGCAGCAUCAAUGUCAGGAUGCAACCAUGGGGUUAUUAUUUCCUUUAAAAAUAUGUAGCUAACUUCUUUGCCAUUCAGAGACAUGUUGUUGCAAAAAUCCUGAGUGAUCAGCUGCACAAAUCGUCAAUUCUCAACUAUCUUGGGAGUUUUGUAUUGAGAAUGAUGAACAGUUUGAACGCUUGCUGUUGUAGUCUAAAGUCAGAUGGCUCUCAAAAGGAAACUGCCCGGAACACUUUUGGGUGCUUUUUGAAACUGUGAUGAAAUUCUUUGAAGACUUGAAUGCUUCAUUCAGUAAUCAGCUCAAGAACAUGAGGCAUGUCUUUGCUUAUUUAGCAGAAUUAUUCACAAAGUUUAUCAAAAUCAAUCUUCAAUUGCAAGGAAAUUCUGUGAAUCUUAUUAAAGUCAAAUCAGUGAUCCCUGGUGUGUAUUUAAUAUUUCAGUAAUAUCUGAGAAACAUUGUAAAUAUAUUGCUGAUUAAGAAUUCAUUGUUUAUUUGAAUAAUUAUUAUGGGUUACAUGUAAAAGUACAUGAAAGACAUACGUCGUUACGCCGCCACGUCAUAUGUGCACAACUUGCUGAAAGUAAACCAAAAAUAAACAUACACAAGUUACCCCCCACCAGCACUCACAUAUUUUUCUUUUGAUUAGUUUUGGAGUUACAAAACAUGACAGUGACGACAAAUAAGUUUUAAGAUGAACCUGAGACAACUACCUACCUAUUGAAACAAGGUGUUCAAGCUUUUUAACAAAUGCAGCACGUUUCAUUUGCAAGUGAAAACAAACAUACCAUGCUUUCUUUGCAAGAGGAGAAGAUAGUUGAGUUAAAAAAAAGACAGGAACAUUUAGAAUGCAGGAAUAUUUAGAACUAAAACCAUCACAAAAAAGAGAAAAUCUGCAGGUGCUGGAAAUCCGAGCAACACACACAAAGUGCUAGAGGAACUCAGUAGGCCAGGCAACAUCAAUGGAAAAGAGUACUGUUAAUGUUUCAGGCUGAAACACUUCAGCAGGGCUAGAGGAAAAAAGCUGAGGAAUAGAUUUAAGUGUUGAGGGGAGAAACACACGGUGAUAGGUGAAACCUGGAGGGGGAAGGAUGAAAUAAAGAGCUGGGAAGUUGAUUGGUGAAAGAGACAGAAGGUCAUGGAAGAAAGAAAAGUGGGGAGGAGCUCCAGACAGAAACAAUGGGCAAGCAAGGAGAUAAGAUGAGAGAGGGAAAAGGGGAUGGGAAAUGGUGAAGGGGGGACAUUACUGGAAGUUUGAGAAAUCAAUGUUUGUGCCUCAGGGUUGGAGGCUACCCAGACGAAAUAUAAGGUGUUGUUCCUCCAACUGAAGUGUGGCCUCAUCAGGACAGUGGAAGAGGCAUGGAUAGACAUGUCAGAAUGGGAUUGGGAAGUGGAAUUAAAAUGGGUGGCCACUGGGAGAUCCUGGUUUUCCUGGCAGAUGGAGGAUAGGUACUCAGAGAAGCAGCCUCCCAAUUAACACUGGUUCUCACCAAUAUACAGGAGGCCACACCGGCAGCACUGGACACAGUACAUAGACUCACAGGGACGUCCAUUUCAAUUUAAUUGAAGAAAUUGAGCAUUGCGGUUAUGUAAUGGCUUAGUGAUACACUGAGAACAUUCAGUUUGUGAAAUCUCAUAAAAAAAAUCAUUCAAAAACAGUUUCUAACUGAAAUACAAUUCUCAUCUAAAAGAGCAAUUGAAUUCACUUUAUCAAUGGAAACCGCAGACAGAGAUGCAAUUGAGUUGCAGUCAGGAAUGAAAGUGGACAUGAACAAAAAUGCAACAUCUAAAAGAAACCUGCCAGGCCAAACAAACUGUGUUGCCAUUGUGGCAAUGGCAUAUAUUCACCAGGCCAAUGCAGGUUUAAAGGUGAAACUUGCAGAAAAUUCAACAAAGGAGGACAAAGAUAAAAAGUCAAGUUGCAAUUUCAAGAAGAGCACUAAUCUGAAUGCUGUUGAUGAAAAAUCUGAUAAUGAUGAGAGUGACACAGGACUGAGUAGCCUUAAAAUGUACAAUGUGAAAACCAACAAGAGACAAGCAAUAUGGCUUACACCAGAAGAGUAUGGCAUUGACCACUGGCUUGGCUGUUUCAGUCAUUCCACAAAAUAAUUGUGCGGCAUUUCAAAGAGACUGAACUGAAGCCGGCAGAUACCUAACAAAGAAUUUAUACUGGAGAAAAGAGAACUCCUGUGGGAAUGACAUCGGUAAUAGUGAAAUACGACAACCAACAAGCCGCAUUGGGCUUACGUGUGAUAAAAAUAGGAGGGUCAACGUUGUGGGGCCAUGAUUGGCUGAGACAACUACAACGUGAUUGGAGAUUCAUCCACCAUUUGCAUGCCAUAUUUCAUGCAAUGGAGUCAACUGAAAAUGAAUUAAGGAAGGUACUGGAUGGUGCCACAGCAGUGUUCAAAGGUGGCAUUGGAAAACUCAAACAUAUCAAGGGUAAAAUAAUGUUAAACUGGGUCCAUCAGGAUCUGUGCUGAUUUUAAGAUCACCAUCUUUUAAUUAAUUUUGCAGUCACAAAACAUAACUGUCUCCACCUUUCUAUCUAAGUAAAACCUAUUUAAGUUGCACAUUGGCUGUUGUGACCUUUUCCAAUUUUCAAGCUUCUCUGAGUUGGAAGAGAAAGAAAGAAUUGCAAAUGAUGAUCUUCAAGUAUACUGUGCCCACCUGGGUGAGCUGCAUAAAGUCAUGUCAGAGAGAUUUCAAUCUGAAUUCCAGAUUGGGUAAUAAAUCCAUUCCUGAGCACUUGUCAUGAGGAAUUAGCAGGAAGGAUGGAGGAAG